GCCUGGCUGGCUCAGUUAGUAGAGCGUGUGAUUUUUGAUCUCCGGGUUGUGAGUUCAACUCCCACGCUGGCUG
RNAcentral lists this transfer RNA (73 nucleotides) under Ailuropoda melanoleuca (giant panda). It matches the Rfam family "tRNA". From Rfam's summary of the family: Transfer RNA (tRNA) molecules are approximately 80 nucleotides in length. Their secondary structure includes four short double-helical elements and three loops (D, anti-codon, and T loops). Further hydrogen bonds mediate the characteristic L-shaped molecular structure. tRNAs have two regions of fundamental functional importance: the anti-codon, which is responsible for specific mRNA codon recognition, and the 3' end, to which the tRNAs corresponding amino acid is attached (by aminoacyl-tRNA synthetases). tRNAs cope with the degeneracy of the genetic code in two manners: having more than one tRNA (with a specific anti-codon) for a particular amino acid; and 'wobble' base-pairing, i.e. permitting non-standard base-pairing at the 3rd anti-codon position. Lineage: Eukaryota; Metazoa; Chordata; Mammalia; Carnivora; Ursidae. The record is from Rfam by way of RNAcentral.